This 337-nucleotide ribosomal RNA is filed under the name uncultured bacterium. RNAcentral describes it as "bacterial SSU rRNA". It matches the Rfam family "Bacterial small subunit ribosomal RNA", at positions 335 to 664 of the family's 1533-position model. The record is from RNAcentral.
ACUCCUACGGGAGGCAGCAGUGGGAAUAUUGGACAAUGGGGAACCCGUAGCAUCCAGCCAUGCCGCGUGUGUGAAGAAGGCCUUCGGGUUGUAAAGCACUUUCAGUGGGGAGGAAAGGUUGAUGGUUAAUACCUAUCAGCUGUGACGUUACCCACAGAAGAAGCACCGGCUAACUCCGUGCCAGCAGCCGCGGUAAUACGGAGGGUGCGAGCGUUAAUCGGAAUUACUGGGCGUAAAGCGCAUGCAGGCGGCCUGUUAAGUCAGAUGUGAAAGCCCGGGGCUUAACCUCGGAAUUGCAUUUGAAACUGGCAGGCUAGAGUCUUGUAGAGGGGGUAGG